GCGCUCGCUUCGGCAGCACAUACACUAAAAUUGAAACGAUACAGAGAAGAUGAGCACGGCCCCUGCGCAAGGACGACACGCAAAUUUGUGAAGCAUUCCAGCUGUAA
Molecule: small nuclear RNA, 107 nt
Organism: Panthera uncia (snow leopard)
Lineage: Eukaryota; Metazoa; Chordata; Mammalia; Carnivora; Felidae
Source: RefSeq, a predicted model, not a curated record